RNAcentral lists this ribosomal RNA (460 nucleotides) under uncultured bacterium. Its description in RNAcentral is "partial 16S ribosomal RNA". It matches the Rfam family "Bacterial small subunit ribosomal RNA", at positions 338 to 795 of the family's 1533-position model. The record is from RNAcentral.
CCUACGGGUGGCAGCAGUGAGGAAUAUUGGUCAAUGGACGAGAGUCUGAACCAGCCAAGUAGCGUGAAGGAUGACUGCCCUAUGGGUUGUAAACUUCUUUUAUAUGGGAAUAAAACGUUCCACGUGUGGGAUUUUGUAUGUACCAUAUGAAUAAGGAUCGGCUAACUACGUGCCAGCAGCCGCGGUAAUACGGAGGCUCCGAGCGUUAUCCGGAUUUAUUGGGUUUAAAGGGAGCGUAGGUGGAUUGUUAAGUCAGUUGUGAAAGUUUGCGGCUCAAACGUAAAAUUGCAGUUGAAACUGGCAGUCUUGAGUACAGAAGAGGUGGGCGGAAUUCGUGGUGUAGCGGUGAAAUGCUUAGAUAUCACGAAGAACUCCGAUUGCGAAGGCAGUUCACUGGACUGCAACUGACACUGAGGCUCGAAAGUGUGGGUAUCAAACAGGAUUAGAUACCCGAGUAGUC